GGAACUUGUAGAGAGGAUUCCUACAUGGAGUGGGAGACUGAAAUAAUAACCUCAAAGAUGCCUUCCAAUCAGAAGAUUUGGUGAUUCUUUCUGAGUUAUCAAACUGCCUUCCUUUGACCUUGCUCACAUGUAGAAAUCCAAGUCAGCGCAGCUUAACUUGGACUCACCACCUAUCAAGUGCUCGACAGCCACGUGUGCAGUGGUUCCUACGUGGAGCAGCAUACAUCCAGAGAUGCAAAUAUUAAUGAGGACAGUGCUAGUAACAGAGUUGCUGAGCAAUCUAUGUCCCCUUGUAAGAACCAGUGCCCCAGGGGAAGAAACAGAACUCCACAAGGUAGCAGUGUGGGUGUAGUACCCGCAUGUGCCCAUGUUAUGGGAAUGUAGAUGGGGAGUGACCACCGCCAACAGAAGUGUGGCCAUCUUGCCCGAGAUGCCUGAGGACCUCCUAUUUUUAGAUGCUGCUGCCCAAGGCCUGUAUUUCAUGCUAUGGCUUUUGUCAUUUGAAUUAUCAGUAGCUGUCUCGGAGCUAUUACGCUUCACUGGGCCCUGGAGGAUAUUGUCUUAUACAGUCCACUGGGUUUUGGAUAUGCAGUCUGUGCCUUUCAUUGCCUUCCUGGAAAAUAAUAACUAAACUCUUCCUCACCAGGCUUUUUGUCUUUUUUAACUUUCUCUUUGUCUAGUUUAUUUUGGUAUCUCUGUUACUAUCAUUUCUUCAAUGUUUUUUUCCUGCUGAUCUAACUCUUUUAGCUUGUUCA
Molecule: long non-coding RNA, 755 nt
Filed under: Homo sapiens (human)
Lineage: Eukaryota; Metazoa; Chordata; Mammalia; Primates; Hominidae
Description: HSALNT0184422
Source: RNAcentral